This 468-nucleotide ribosomal RNA is filed under the name uncultured bacterium. RNAcentral describes it as "partial 16S ribosomal RNA". It matches the Rfam family "Bacterial small subunit ribosomal RNA", at positions 28 to 507 of the family's 1533-position model. The record is from RNAcentral.
GACGAACGCUGGCGGCGUGCUUAACACAUGCAAGUCGAACGGAAAGGCCCUGCUUUUGUGGGGUGCUCGAGUGGCGAACGGGUGAGUAACACGUGAGUAACCUGCCCUGGACUUUGGGAUAACUUCAGGAAACUGGGGCUAAUACCGGAUAGGAGCUCCUGCUGCAUGGUGGGGGUUGGAAAGUUUCGGCGGUUGGGGAUGGACUCGCGGCUUAUCAGCUUGUUGGUGGGGUAGUGGCUUACCAAGGCUUUGACGGGUAGCCGGCCUGGGAGGGUGACCGGCCACAUUGGGACUGAGAUACGGCCAAGACUCCUACGGGAGGCAGCAGUGGGGAAUAUUGCACAAUGGGCGGAAGCCUGAUGCAGCAACGCCGCGUGCGGGAUGACGGCCUUCGGGUUGUAAACCGCUUUCGCCUGUGACGAAGCGUGAGUGACGGUAAUGGGUAAAGAAGCACCGGCUAACUACGUG